UACGGGAGGCAGCAGUGGGGAAUAUUGCACAAUGGGCGCAAGCCUGAUGCAGCCAUGCCGCGUGUAUGAAAAAGGCCUUCGGGUUGUAAAGUACUUUCAGUCGUGAGGAAGGUGUUAAGGUUAAUAACCUUAGCAAUUGACGUUAGCGACAGAAGAAGCACCGGCUAACUCCGUGCCAGCAGCCGCGGUAAUACGGAGGGUGCGAGCGUUAAUCGGAAUUACUGGGCGUAAAGGGCACGCAGGCGGUUAAUUAAGUUGGAUGUGAAAUCCCCGGGCUUAACCUGGGAAUGGCAUUCAAGACUGGUUAGCUAGAGUCUUGUAGAGGGGGUAGAAUUCCAUGUGUAGCGGUGAAAUGCGUAGAGAUGUGGAGGAAUACCGGUGGCGAAGGCGGCCCCGUGGACAAAGACUGACGCUCAUGUGCGAAAGCGUGGGGAGCAAACGAGGGAUUAGAUACCC
Molecule: ribosomal RNA, 456 nt
Filed under: uncultured bacterium
Lineage: Bacteria
Description: bacterial SSU rRNA
Rfam family: Bacterial small subunit ribosomal RNA
Source: RNAcentral